Molecule: ribosomal RNA, 292 nt
Filed under: uncultured bacterium
Lineage: Bacteria
Description: partial 16S ribosomal RNA
Rfam family: Bacterial small subunit ribosomal RNA
Source: RNAcentral
GUGCCAGCAGCCGCGGUAACACGGGGGGAACGAGCGUUGUUCGGAUUUACUGGGCGUAAAGGGUGCGUAGGCGGGUUGGCAAGUCGGGUGUGAAAUUCCAUAGCUUAACUAUGGACCUGCAUUCGAAACUGUUGAUCUUGAGUACUGGAGAGGUGAGUGGAAUUCUCGGUGUAGCGGUGAAAUGCGUAGAUAUCGAGAGGAACACCGUUGGCGAAGGCGGCUCACUGGACAGAUACUGACGCUGAGGCACGAAGGUCGGGGGAGCAAACAGGAUUAGAAACCCUCGUAGUCC